Molecule: long non-coding RNA, 346 nt
Organism: Rhipicephalus microplus (southern cattle tick)
Lineage: Eukaryota; Metazoa; Arthropoda; Arachnida; Ixodida; Ixodidae
Source: RefSeq, a predicted model, not a curated record
GUCACGCUCGGCAAGACGAGAACGGACCUGCGAGGGCGCUAGCAAUGCAGGAGAGGGCACAAGUCAUGAAGCUGUGGCGCAAGUGUGCAUGGAGCACCUUGAACACAUCAAAGCGAACAAGGGGGUCAUCAAAAAAGAUAACAUUGGUUUCUUCGCUCUACGUACCGAUGCACGCCUCAGGGAGCUACCAAUGCACAUUGCACUAGAUGUAAUGCAUGCAGUAGAAUUCAUGCUGUAUGAAGCAGAGGUGAAAUUGCGUCAGAGCAGUGAAGCAAAUUGAAAUGUUUAUAUAAUGUCAAUGACACCCACCUUUUUAUCUUGUGUUCACAUUUCUAGUCCUAACUUA